AGUUUUCUAGAAUGGACUGAACUGCACCAGACUAGGCUGUAAAAGACGAUUUUUUACGAUUUUUUAUGUACUAUAUGUUGAAAAGAAAAUUUUGAAGCCAACAAAGUUGCUAUAUUUGUAUUUGCUAAAAGAAGUUACAUGAGUCCUUGGUCUUUAAUUGUUUUAUUUUUUUCAAAUUUUGCAAACACAUUUUUCUUAGGAUUAUAUUCUCUUCGUUUCUAAAUUAUUGACGUGGUUUUGGUUCAAAUUUAUUAGGAACCAAGGGAGACAUGCUAAAAUCAUGGGUGGGUGGGUGGGUGGGUGUGGGGGGGGGGGGCGUUGUAGUACUGAAUUUUGACAAAAUUGACCCAAAAUCCAAUUUUUUUUUUUGAAAUAUGGACUCUGCGCGAAACUAUUUCACAAGUCUGACCCUUCCGUGUAGCGCCCGCAUACUGGGCGUUAGCCUUGCAGUAUAACGCCUUGUGACUGAGCGUUGAACCGGUGCCAGCGUGGCGUUCCUGUCCAGUGUGGCGAUGCCGGGGACCCACGCCAAGCCACUAUAGCGUCUUGUCCACGGGCGCUAUAUAAGUACUUUAGCGCCUUGUCACCGGGCGCUAUACCCCUGUACCCUAAAGUGGCCGAACCGCUCGGGCCAGAGGCUCAGCACGCACAGAAGGGUUCGGCCCUUUUUCCUCUCCCAUAAGAACACAGGGGUGGCGGCGGUUGCUCCCGAGCAAAUCUCUCCCCCGAUUCGUCGAUUUCUCCGUGGAUUCCGUUCGCAUUUGCUCCCCCUAGGUAUUCUCCUCCGAUCCCCUCAGUUUGCGCCGCACAGUUGCUCUGAUUCGCUAUACAUUUGUGAUUCGAGGUUGUAUCCGGCUAGUGGUUGAAUCACAAUCUUGUAGGAUUCUGGGCGGCCGGUUGUUGCUAGUUUACUUAGAGGAAAAAAGCUAGGUUAUUGCUCAAAUAGUCCUCGAUAUGUUAUACUAAGGUUUGAGAAGUUGUAUCCGGCUUGUGGUCGAAUCAGAAUUGUUUUGGAAUGUGACCGGCCGGUAGUUGCUAGUUUUGUAUGAUGAAAAAACUUAUUGCUCAAAUACCUCGAUAUGUUAUACGAAGUUGUAUUGUUGGGGAUAACAAGACCUCAGAAAGUAUGCUUUGUUCCAUGCAUGUGGGAUGGCUGUUAUAAUCAAGUAUUUUGUGUUAAUUGUUAUAACUAUUUCUUAGGCAUGGCUGGUUUGGUUUGUUCAUUCGAUGGUUGUCUUUAAUUCAUAAGAUGGAUUUGUAGGAAUGGCUUGCUUUGUUGCUAUAGUUCGGAGUACGGGUGUCAUUUGGUUUGUUAAUAUGUCUUAAG
This 1327-nucleotide long non-coding RNA is filed under the name Brachypodium distachyon (stiff brome). Its description in RNAcentral is "long non-coding RNA (BDIS_LNC003083)". Lineage: Eukaryota; Viridiplantae; Streptophyta; Magnoliopsida; Poales; Poaceae. The record is from RNAcentral.